UCCUGGUGACGAGUGCCGCGUUCGCUCCCUCAGUCCACUCCGCCAGCCCUCCACCGCGGCGCCCCGCCAGCCCGCCCCUCUCCUGUGCCAGGAACUGACAGGCACCAUGCCCCACCAAUACCCAGCACUCACCCCGGAGCAGAAGAAGCGCUCACCGGAUUGUGGCUCCGGGCAAGGGCAUCCUGGCUGCAGAUGAGUCCACCGGGAGCAUCGCCAAGCGACUGCAGUCCAUUGGUACCGAGAACACGGACGAGAACCGGCGCUUUUACCGCCAACUGCUGCUGACCGCCGACGACUGCGUGAAUCCCUGCAUCGGGGGCGUCAUCCUCUUCCACGAGACGCUCUACCAGAAGGCCGAUGAUGGGCGUCCCUUCCCCCAAGUUAUCAAAGCCAAGGGCGGCGUCGUGGGCAUCAAGGUAGACAAAGGUGUGGUACCCCUGGCAGGAACAAAUGGCGAGACAACCACCCAAGGGCUGGAUGGGCUGUCGGAACGCUGUGCCCAGUAUAAGAAGGACGGAGCUGACUUUGCCAAGUGGCGUUGUGUGCUGAAGAUUGGGGAACACACCCCUUCUUCCCUCGCCAUCAUGGAAAACGCCAACGUCCUGGCCCGUUAUGCCAGCAUCUGCCAGCAGAAUGGCAUUGUGCCCAUCGUGGAGCCGGAGAUCCUUCCUGAUGGCGACCAUGACUUGAAACGCUGUCAGUAUGUAACCGAGAAGGUGCUGGCUGCUGUCUACAAGGCUCUGAGUGACCAUCACAUCUACCUGGAAGGCACCUUGCUGAAGCCCAAUAUGGUAACCCCAGGCCACGCCUGCACCCAGAAAUAUUCUCACGAGGAGAUUGCCAUGGCAACUGUCACGGCGCUGCGCCGCACAGUGCCCCCUGCUGUCCCUGGGCUCACCUUCCUAUCCGGAGGCGUCCAUCAACCUCAAUGCCAUCAACAAGUGCCCCCUGCUGAAGCCGUGGGCCCUGACCUUCUCUUAUGGCCGAGCCCUGCAGGCCUCUGCCCUGAAGGCCUGGGGUGGAAAGAAGGAGAACCUGAAGGCUGCCCAGGAAGAAUAUGUCAAGCGAGCCCUGGCCAACAGCCUUGCCUGCCAAGGAAAGUACACCCCAAGUGGUAAGGCAGGGGCUGCAGCCCCCGAGUCCCUCUUCAUCUCUAACCACGCCUACUAAGCCGAUGUGUUCUAAGGCUGCCCCCUCAACACUCCAGGCCCCGUCCCCUCCCACGCUCACUCUUGAAGAGAGGGGGCUUCAUCUGGGGCUCCAGGCUGCUCUUUCCCGUCACUCUUGCCUCCUUGUGACAUUGGUGCCUGGUGUUGUCUCUGUACGCUAACUCCACCGUUUCCAGCCUACUGCCAAUAAACAGCUAUUUAAGGGGG
Molecule: non-coding RNA, 1376 nt
Organism: Odocoileus virginianus texanus
Lineage: Eukaryota; Metazoa; Chordata; Mammalia; Artiodactyla; Cervidae
Source: RefSeq, a predicted model, not a curated record